GCUUACAAUCCGCUUCUACUCUUUCUCCUCCCAUCUCUUCUCUACCUCAGUAUUUAUCCGGCUUACAGCCUGCUAUUAUACGGAGUCUCGCCCUCAGCCCGCUAACAAAACUGUUUAUGGCCAUCUCAUCCUUCUACACCAUAAAGAUUAAAGAAGCACCCCUCCCAACUCCACUCCUUUUAAUUAUACUUGCUCUAAGAGCGGUUAACUAUAAGCUAAAUAUAAAUAUAUUUUAAGGAGAUAAGAGAUGAGAGAGAAGAACAGUGAUAUAUAUUUAUAGCCAGCUGUAACACGAAUUCUAAGACAUAAUAUGUGUAUAGCAGAUGCCAUAUGGGACAUGUUAGUAUAUGUUUUAUAGGUAGCUAUUAUAUGAAUUGACUAUUAGAUUGAUUAUAGAUA
This 399-nucleotide long non-coding RNA is filed under the name Oryza brachyantha (malo sina). Its description in RNAcentral is "long non-coding RNA (OBRA_LNC000582)". The record is from RNAcentral. Lineage: Eukaryota; Viridiplantae; Streptophyta; Magnoliopsida; Poales; Poaceae.